This 768-nucleotide long non-coding RNA is filed under the name Capra hircus (goat). RNAcentral describes it as "lncRNA (ENSCHIG00000001646.1)". Lineage: Eukaryota; Metazoa; Chordata; Mammalia; Artiodactyla; Bovidae. The record is from RNAcentral.
CCCCGAGUCCCUCUUGCGCCUGGCGCUUCGUAGCGCCCAAAGACUGAGAGGGGUUAGAGGCGCCGAUCACAUCCUAGAGGUCGUUUAUGUCGAGCUGUGGAUGUUACAUGCGUUGUUUGGCCAGGACAGCGAGAUGCUGGCAGCCUUCUACGGGUGGUUCAGGGUCUCCCUCGUGGUCAGCGCAGUCCCAGGAUGUGGAGUUCUGGUCUUCAUCAUCGGACCGCCCCUUUAUCAGUAUGUGACCAAGUUCCUCAUCGUGGCAAUGUCUUUUCAGCUUCGGAUCCGCCGAAAUCGAGCCAGAGCUCGGACCAGACAGCUGCUAAAUUCUGCGCGGGCCUGGAGGCGCUAGGGUUAAGGCGGGGCCGACCCCAGCCCCCUAAUCCAGAAGACAGGGCAACCAAGGCUUGCGCGAAUGCUGACCUGGAGGUCUGGAGGCCAAGGCUCCAUCCAGUUCUCUUAGCACCAUGAAAGAUGCCGAUGAGGGUAGGGAUGGGAGCACCUGUUCUUAAUUCUGUCCCUUUCGAGUGACUGCAAGCUCAAUCUUUUAAGGAAAUUUUCUUUGGUUUUAUAAUAAAUGAUCUUUGUUGAUUUCCUUCCUGUCAGUGUUCUUUCCAGGUUAUGAUGGAGAAAAGAAAACAAUUUCUGGGAGUCCCCCCCCUCACCCCCAACUCCCACUCUGGAUGGAGCUCUCCUUUCCUGCCUGGGUCCCUACCUGGAAGAGUGGGGAGCUCCAAGGAGGGAGGUGCCUGUUGUAGGGGUGCUGCUGAG